GGCCGAUUAGUUAGUUGGCAGGGUAAAAGCCUACCAAGACAAAGAUCGGUAGCCGGCCUGAGAGGGCACACGGCCACACUGGCACUGAAACACGGGCCAGACUCCUACGGGAGGCAGCAGUGGGGAAUCUUGCACAAUGGGGGCAACCCUGACGCAGCGACGCCGCGUGAGCGAUGAAGCCCUUCGGGGUGUAAAGCUCUUUCGGCAGGGAAGAUUAUGACGGUACCUGCAGAAGCAGCUGCGGCUAACUACGUGCCAGCAGCCGCGGUAAUACGUAGGCAGCAAGCGUUGUUCGGAGUUACUGGGCGUAAA
Molecule: ribosomal RNA, 312 nt
Filed under: uncultured soil bacterium
Lineage: Bacteria
Description: bacterial SSU rRNA
Rfam family: Bacterial small subunit ribosomal RNA
Source: RNAcentral